UAAUACAUGCAAGUAGAACGCAGAGGUCAGGUGCUUGCACUGGACUGAUGAGUUGCGAACGGGUGAGUAACGCGUAGGUAACCUACCUGAUAGCGGGGGAUAACUAUUGGAAACGAUAGCUAAUACCGCAUAAAAGCCAAUGACCCAUGUCAUUGGCUUGAAAGAAGCAAACGCUUCACUAUGAGAUGGACCUGCGUUGUAUUAGCUAGUUGGUAGGGUAAAGGCCUACCAAGGCGACGAUACAUAGCCGACCUGAGAGGGUGAACGGCCACACUGGGACUGAGACACGGCCCAGACUCCUACGGGAGGCAGCAGUAGGGAAUCUUCGGCAAUGGGGGGAACCCUGACCGAGCAACGCCGCGUGAGUGAAGAAGGUUUUCGGAUCGUAAAGCUCUGUUGUUAGAGAAGAACAGUGAUGGGAGUGGAAAGUCCAUCAUUUGACGGUAACUAACCAGAAAGGGACGGCUAACUACGUGCCAGCAGCCGCGGUAAUACGUAGGUCCCGAGCGUUGUCCGGAUUUAUUGGGCGUAAAGCGAGCGCAGGCGGUUUAAUAAGUCUGAAGUUAAAGGCAGUGGCUUAACCAUUGUAUGCUUUGGAAACUGUUAAACUUGAGUGCAGAAGGGGAGAGUGGAAUUCCAUGUGUAGCGGUGAAAUGCGUAGAUAUAUGGAGGAACACCGGUGGCGAAAGCGGCUCUCUGGUCUGUAACUGACGCUGAGGCUCGAAAGCGUGGGGAGCAAACAGGAUUAGAUACCCUGGUAGUCCACGCCGUAAACGCUGAGUGCUAGGUGUUAGGCCCUUUCCGGGGCUUAGUGCCGUA
Molecule: ribosomal RNA, 819 nt
Filed under: Streptococcus equi subsp. zooepidemicus
Lineage: Bacteria; Bacillati; Bacillota; Bacilli; Lactobacillales; Streptococcaceae
Description: bacterial SSU rRNA
Rfam family: Bacterial small subunit ribosomal RNA
Source: RNAcentral